UUCAGGGUAGCCUAGUGGACACGGCAUCUGCUCGAUAAGAGGAACACUGUGGGUUCGGUUCCCAUCCCUGGAC
This 73-nucleotide transfer RNA is filed under the name Cordylochernes scorpioides. Its description in RNAcentral is "tRNA-Ile". It matches the Rfam family "tRNA". From Rfam's summary of the family: Transfer RNA (tRNA) molecules are approximately 80 nucleotides in length. The record is from RNAcentral. Lineage: Eukaryota; Metazoa; Arthropoda; Arachnida; Pseudoscorpiones; Chernetidae.